RNAcentral lists this transfer RNA (89 nucleotides) under Terriglobia bacterium. Its description in RNAcentral is "tRNA-Tyr". It matches the Rfam family "tRNA". Rfam says of the family: Transfer RNA (tRNA) molecules are approximately 80 nucleotides in length. Lineage: Bacteria; Pseudomonadati; Acidobacteriota; Terriglobia. The record is from RNAcentral. RNAcentral also lists the same sequence under 2 other names.
GCACAGGUGGGUGAGCGGUUAAAGCCAACAGACUGUAAAUCUGUCCGCCCUUGCGGCGUUCGGUGGUUCGAAUCCACCCCUGUGCACCA